CAUGAUGAAGACUUCAUACACAAUACAAUGCUUUUCUGACAGCGGCCAGACUAGCCUUUAGAAGGAGCUGAGCUUUCCGAAGGAAUUGAAUGGAGGCAAACCCUUUUUCAAGGGCACAACUGCUAUUUUUGAGAAAGGGUACAUCCUUCCUUGUAUUUGGAAGGACCCAGGAUACACACGUUGUCUUAAGGUAGAGGAAUGUGGGAGAUCUUGUAGGAACAGUAGAGAAGGGAGCAUAUCAUAUCAGGUAGUUCUUGGAAUUAGCUCCCUCUGUACACACACACACACGGAAAAUAUAUAAAAGAAAAUAGGAAAAUAAAGGCUUUGUAAUUCAAUUCAUGAAAAGCUCCUGUAAUAUUGAACUGUGCAUUACCCAUUAUUUUGUAGUACUUUGCAUCCGAUGGUUUUCUCUUGUGUGCUGAAAUGCUGACUUCCUU
Magnolia sinica is the source of this 437-nucleotide long non-coding RNA. RefSeq lists it as uncharacterized. The record is from RefSeq and is a predicted model, not a curated record. The transcript has 2 exons. NCBI's taxonomy places the organism in Eukaryota, Viridiplantae, Streptophyta, Magnoliopsida, Magnoliales, Magnoliaceae.